UCGAGAGUCUUCCGCAAUGGGCGAAAGCCUGACGGAGCGACGCCGCGUGGAGGACGAAGGCCCUUGGGUUGUAAACUCCUGUCACGGGUUAUGAAUGCGUAUACGUGAAUAGCGUAUGCGUUGACGUAUGCCCGAGAGGAAGCACCGGCUAACUCUGUGCCAGCAGCCGCGGUAAUACAGAGGGUGCAAACGUUGUUCCGAAUUACUGGGCAUAAAGCGCACGUAGGCGGUCCUGUAAGUGUGAAGUGAAAGCCCACGGCUCAACCGUGGAAUUGCUUUGCAUACUGCAGAACUCGAGGACGGUAGGGGAGAGCGGAACUCCUGGUGGAGCGGUGAAAUGCGUAGAUAUCAGGAGGAACACCGGUGGCGAAGGCGGCUCUCUGGUCCGUUUCUGACUCUGAGGUGCGAAAGCCAGGGUAGCGAACGGGAUUAGAUACCCGUGUAGUCC
Molecule: ribosomal RNA, 448 nt
Filed under: uncultured prokaryote
Description: bacterial SSU rRNA
Rfam family: Bacterial small subunit ribosomal RNA
Source: RNAcentral